UAAGGAAUAUUGCUCAAUGGGAGAAAUCCUGAAGCAGCAACGCCGCGUGGAGGAUGAAGGGUCUAUGACUUGUAAACUCCUGUAAAGAAGGAAAAAAUUCCCAUUUGAUGGGAGAUGAUGGUACUUCUGGAGUAAGCACCGGCUAACUCCGUGCCAGCAGCCGCGGUAAUACGGAGGGUGCAAGCGUUAUCCGGAUUCACUGGGUUUAAAGGGUGCGUAGGCGGAUAUGUAAGUCAGUGGUGAAAUCAACGGGCUCAACCUGUUAACUGCCAUUGAUACUGUGUAUCUUGAAUAUGAGAGAGGUAGGCGGAAUGUUGCAUGUAGCGGUGAAAUGCUUAGAUAUGCUACGGAACACCGAUUGCGAAGGCAGCUUACUAUUUCGUAAUUGACGCUGAGGCACGAAAGCGUGGGUAGCGAACA
Molecule: ribosomal RNA, 420 nt
Filed under: uncultured bacterium
Lineage: Bacteria
Description: bacterial SSU rRNA
Rfam family: Bacterial small subunit ribosomal RNA
Source: RNAcentral